UACGUAGGGUGCAAGCGUUGUCCGGAAUUAUUGGGCGUAAAGGGCUCGUAGGCGGUCCAUCACGUCGGGAGUGAAAAGCUGGGGCUUAACCCCAGUCCUGCUUCCGAUACGGGUGGACUAGAGGUAGGUAGGGGAGAACGGAAUUCCUGGUGUAGCGGUGAAAUGACGCAGAUAUCAGGAGGAACACCGAUGGCGAAGGCAGGUCUCUGGGCAUUAACUGACGCUGAGGAGCGAAAGCAUGGGGAGCGAA
Molecule: ribosomal RNA, 250 nt
Filed under: uncultured bacterium
Lineage: Bacteria
Description: partial 16S ribosomal RNA
Rfam family: Bacterial small subunit ribosomal RNA
Source: RNAcentral